UACGAAGGGGGCUAGCGUUGUUCGGAAUUACUGGGCGUAAAGCGCGCGCAGGCGGCCGAUCAAGUCAGGGGUGAAAGCCCGGAGCUCAACUCCGGAAUUGCCUUUGAAACUGAUCGGCUUGAGUACGGGAGAGGUGAGUGGAAUUCCCAGUGUAGAGGUGAAAUUCGUAGAUAUUGGGAAGAACACCGGUGGCGAAGGCGGCUCACUGGCCCGUUACUGACGCUCAGGCGCGACAGCGUGGGGAUCAAACAGG
RNAcentral lists this ribosomal RNA (253 nucleotides) under uncultured bacterium. RNAcentral's name for it is "partial 16S ribosomal RNA". It matches the Rfam family "Bacterial small subunit ribosomal RNA", at positions 524 to 776 of the family's 1533-position model. The record is from RNAcentral. RNAcentral also lists the same sequence under 1 other name.